This 378-nucleotide ribosomal RNA is filed under the name uncultured bacterium. RNAcentral describes it as "partial 16S ribosomal RNA". It matches the Rfam family "Bacterial small subunit ribosomal RNA", at positions 527 to 907 of the family's 1533-position model. The record is from RNAcentral.
GGAAGGUCCGGGCGUUAUCCGGAUUUAUUGGGUUUAAAGGGAGCGUAGGCCGUNUNNUAAGCGUGUUGUGAAAUGUCGAUGCUCAACAUGUGCANUGCAGCGCGAACUGUNUUACUUGAGUGCGCACAAAGGUGGGCGGAAUUCGUGGUGUAGCGGUGAAAUGCUUAGAUAUNACGAAGAACUCCGAUUGCGAAGGCAGCUCGCUGUAGCGCAACUGACGCUGAAGCUCGAAAGCGCGGGUAUCGAACAGGAUUAGAUACCCUGGUAGUCCNCACGGUAAACGAUGGAUGCUCGCUGUUUGCCUNNGACGUNAGCNGCCCAGCGAAAGCNUUANGCAUCCCACCUGGGGAGUACGCCGNCAACGGUGAACCUCAAAGG